AGUGAACGCUGGCGGCAGGCCUAACACAUGCAAGUCGAGCGGCAGCGCGGGGGCAACCCUGGCGGCGAGCGGCGGACGGGUGAGGAAUUCGUCGGAAUCUGCCUUUUUGUGGGGGAUAACGUAGGGAAACUUACGCUAAUACCGCAUACGUCCUACGGGAGCAAGUGGGGGACCGCAAGGCCUCACGCAGAAAGAUGAGCCGACGACCGAUUAGCUAGUUGGUGGGGUAAAGGCCCACCAAGGCGACGAUCGGUAGCUGGUCUGAGAGGAUGAUCAGCCACACUGGGACUGAGACACGGCCCAGACUACUACGGGAGGCAGCAGUGGGGAAUAUUGGACAAUGGGCGCAAGCCUGAUCCAGCCAUGCCGCGUGUGUGAAGAAGGCCUUCGGGUUGUAAAGCACUUUUGUCCGGAAAGAAAUCCCUGGAGCUAAUACCUUCGGGGGAUGACGGUACCGGAAGAAUAAGCACCGGCUAACUUCGUG
This 484-nucleotide ribosomal RNA is filed under the name uncultured bacterium. RNAcentral's name for it is "partial 16S ribosomal RNA". It matches the Rfam family "Bacterial small subunit ribosomal RNA", at positions 29 to 507 of the family's 1533-position model. The record is from RNAcentral.